UGACAAUACGAAGACAACCAGGAUGUUGGCUUAGAAGCAGCCACACAUUCAAAGAGUGCGUAAUAGCUCACUGGUCGAGCGAUGUUGCGCCGAAGAUAACCGGGGCUAAAACCUGACACCGAAGCUUGGGAAUCACAGCAAUGUGAUUGGUAGAGGAGCAAUCCUGACGCGCAGAAGCCAUAGCGGAAGCGGUGGUGGAGUGUGAGGAAGAGAGAAUGCCGGCAUAAGUAGCGAAAGAGGAGCGAGAAACUCCUCCGUCGAAAGCCUAAGGUUUCCUGGGGAAGGUUCGUCCGCCCAGGGUAAGUCGGGACCUAAGUCGAGGCCGAAAGGCGUAGAUGAUGGACAAACGGUGGAUAUUCCGUUACCGUCGUACAGACCGAAGCAGGGACACAGAAGGAUAGUCAGACCACGGGGAUGGAAAGCCGUGGGCAAGCACCGAGGCCGAUCGGCAGUGAAGUACACCGAUCAUAAGGCUGGGGUGUGAUGCGGAGUGGACAAGAGAAACGAAGCUGACGAAUUCACGCUGGCGAGAAAAGCUGCUAAGGAUAUGUGUAAGGCGCCCGUACCGCAAACCGACACAGGUAGGCGGCAAGAAAAUUGCAAGACGAGCGGGAUAACCUUUGUUAAGGAACUCGGCAAAAUGACCCCGUAACCUCGGGAUAAGGGGAGCCUGGUGACAGGCCACAGAAAAGAGGCCCAAGCGACUGUUUACCUAAAACACAGGUCUCUGCGAAAGCGAAAGCUGAAGUAUAGGGGCUGACGCCUGCCCGGUGCCGGAAGGUCAAGGGGAUUUGUUAGGAGCGAUCCGAAGCAUUGAACUUAAGCCCCGGUGAACGGCGGCCGUAACUAUAACGGUCCUAAGGUAGCGAAAUUCCUUGUCAGGUAAGUUCUGACCCGCAUGAAUGGCGUAACGAUUUGGGCGCUGUCUCAACAAGGGACCCGGCGAAAUUGUAGUAUAUGUGAAGAUGCAUAUUACCCGCGACUGGACGGAAAGACCCCGUAGAGCUUUACUGCAGUUUGGCAUUGAGUUUCGGUAAUGGAUGCACAGGAUAGGUGGGACGCUAUGAGCCCCGGGUUUCGGCUCGGGAGGAGCGGCCGUUGGGAUACCACCCUUCUGUUACUGAAAUUCUCAACGGAUCGCGGUUAUCCCGGAUCCGGACAUUGUCAGGCGGGCAGUUUGACUGGGGCGGUCGCCUCCUAAAGAGUAACGGAGGCGCUCAAAGGUUCUCUCAGAAUGGUUGGAAACCAUUUGCAGAGCGUAAAGGUAUAAGAGAGCUUAACUGCGAGACAAACGAGUCAAGCAGAUACGAAAGUAGGACUUAGUGAUCCGGCGGUAGAGAAUGGAAUUGCCGUCGCUUAACGGAUAAAAGUUACCUCGGGGAUAACAGGCUGAUCUCCCCCAAGAGUUCAUAUCGACGGGGAGGUUUGGCACCUCGAUGUCGGCUCGUCUCAUCCUGGGGCUGAAGUAGGUCCCAAGGGUUGGGCUGUUCG
This 1491-nucleotide ribosomal RNA is filed under the name human gut metagenome. RNAcentral's name for it is "bacterial LSU rRNA". It matches the Rfam family "Bacterial large subunit ribosomal RNA", at positions 1076 to 2583 of the family's 2925-position model. The record is from RNAcentral.